Molecule: long non-coding RNA, 132 nt
Filed under: Monodelphis domestica (gray short-tailed opossum)
Lineage: Eukaryota; Metazoa; Chordata; Mammalia; Didelphimorphia; Didelphidae
Description: lncRNA (ENSMODG00000040237.1)
Source: RNAcentral
GUGGAUGGGCAGCUGUUUUGAAGGAAUGCCUGGCUCCAGGCAGCUAUAGGUAACCACUGGGGGCUACCCAGAGUGGCUGCCACUCACCCAAAGAGGGGCCAGUCUUCCUCCAGAAAGACUAUUCUUACCAUC